GCGGCAGUAGCUCAGUGGUGGAGCCUCCGCUUCGCAUUCGGGGAGACCUGGAUUCGAUUCCCGGCUGCUUCC
Molecule: transfer RNA, 72 nt
Filed under: Toxocara canis (dog roundworm)
Lineage: Eukaryota; Metazoa; Nematoda; Chromadorea; Rhabditida; Toxocaridae
Rfam family: tRNA
About the family: Transfer RNA (tRNA) molecules are approximately 80 nucleotides in length. Their secondary structure includes four short double-helical elements and three loops (D, anti-codon, and T loops). Further hydrogen bonds mediate the characteristic L-shaped molecular structure. tRNAs have two regions of fundamental functional importance: the anti-codon, which is responsible for specific mRNA codon recognition, and the 3' end, to which the tRNAs corresponding amino acid is attached (by aminoacyl-tRNA synthetases). tRNAs cope with the degeneracy of the genetic code in two manners: having more than one tRNA (with a specific anti-codon) for a particular amino acid; and 'wobble' base-pairing, i.e. permitting non-standard base-pairing at the 3rd anti-codon position.
Source: Rfam by way of RNAcentral